AGGGCACCACCAGGAGUGGAGCCUGCGGCUUAAUUUGGCUCAACUCGGGGAAACUCACCCGGCCCGGACACCGGAAGGAUUGACAGAUUGAUAGCUCUUUCUUGAUUCGGUGGAUGGUGGUGCAUGGCCGUUCUUAGUUGGUGGAGCGAUCUGUCUGGUUAAUUCCGAUAACGAACGAGACUCUAGCCUAUUAAAUAGACGUCGGGUUCUCUGCACUCGACGGUCUUCUUAGAGGGACAAGGUGCUUUUAGCACCGCGAAACAGAGCAAUAACAGGUCUGUGACGCCCUUAGAUGUCCGGGGCCGCACGCGCGCUACACUGAAGGAAGCAGCGUGUAACAACCUUGUUCUAACGAACUGGGUAACCCGUGGAACUUCCUUCAUGAUUGGGAUAGGGGUUUGCAAUUUUGCCCCUUGAACGAGGAAUUCCCAGUAAACACUAGUCAUCAGCUAGUGCUGAUUACGUCCCUGCCCUUUGUACACACCGCCCGUCGCUACUACCGAUUGAAUGGUUUAGUGA
This 519-nucleotide ribosomal RNA is filed under the name uncultured eukaryote. Its description in RNAcentral is "SSU rRNA". It matches the Rfam family "Eukaryotic small subunit ribosomal RNA", at positions 1161 to 1704 of the family's 1831-position model. The record is from RNAcentral.